CGCAUGCAAGAGGGUUUAAAAAAAAGAAUUUAAAUUUAUUUUAGAAUUAAAAAAGAUAAUGGGUAGUUGUGUUCCAUAAAAAUAGGAUCCAUUAUUUGAUUUUUCUUUUCAUUUUAAUUUUUUUCAUAUGAAAAAGUGUGAAUUUACCAUAUUAUCCUCAUUUAAUUAACAAUUCCAAUUCUUAAUGUAUGCAUUAACCAAGGGCAUUUUUUGAUAUUUUGAAUGUUUCAUCAUUCGCUGCCUUUUGCUUUAUAUAUAUGAUUAAAAAAAUUAAAAUUAAAAAUAAAAUCAGAUAAUAAGUCCUACUUUUAUAGAACAUAAUUACCCAUGUUAUCUUUUCCUAAUACUUAAAAUAAAAAAUAAAAUAAUAAACCAAUUGGCAAAUGCGUGAGCGUGUGCCAAGAGGCUAAUAUAUAUAGAUGAAAUAAAAAUUAUAAAUACACACAAAAAAAAUGUACGUAUUUACAAUACUUACGACUUGUUACAUUGGUUUUAAUUUUACUGGUACUAACUGCUUGAGUGUUGAGAGCCCGGUAUAUCCUUGCCUACUGAAAGUUGUCAUAAGGAUGAUGUUGAUGAAUCAUUCAAAUUGCAGCAACGUAGUGUUGGCCUGGUUGUAACAUGAAUUGAGUUUAUAUUAAUGAAAUAUUGUGUUCUCUUCUGAAAAAAUCAAUUGCCAAUAGAUGUAGUCUCAACACCUG
RNAcentral lists this long non-coding RNA (701 nucleotides) under Prunus persica (peach). Its description in RNAcentral is "long non-coding RNA (PPER_LNC004528)". Lineage: Eukaryota; Viridiplantae; Streptophyta; Magnoliopsida; Rosales; Rosaceae. The record is from RNAcentral.